RNAcentral lists this ribosomal RNA (253 nucleotides) under uncultured bacterium. RNAcentral describes it as "partial 16S ribosomal RNA". It matches the Rfam family "Bacterial small subunit ribosomal RNA", at positions 524 to 776 of the family's 1533-position model. The record is from RNAcentral.
UACGGAGGGUGCAAGCGUUAUCCGGGUUCACUGGGUUUAAAGGGAGCGUAGGUGGCUUUGUAAGUCAGUGGUGAAAGCCCGCAGCUCAACUGCGGAACUGCCAUUGAUACUGCUUAGCUUGAAUCAGGUCGAGGUGGAUGGAAUAAUACAUGCAGCGGUGAAAUGCUUAGAUAUGUAUUAGAACACCGAUUGCGAAGGCAGUUCACUAGGCCUGUAUUGACACUGAGGCUCGAAAGCGUGGGGAUCAAACAGG